UUUAUUUGAUAUUGCCUAUCCUACAUGGAUAACAGUGGUAAUUCUAGAGCUAAUACAUGCUGAAAAUCCCGACUUCGGAAGGGACGUAUUUAUUAGAAUCAGAACCAAUGCCCUUCGGGGUUUCCUGGUGACUCAUGAUAACUCCACAGAUCGCAUGGCCUUGCGCCGGCGAUGGCUCAUUCAAAUUUCUUCCCUAUCAACUUUCGACGGUACGGUCUUGGCCUACCGUGGUUGUAACGGGUGACGGAGGGUUAGGGCUCGACCCCGGAGAGAGAGCCUGAGAAACGGCUAUCACAUCCAAGGAAGGCAGCAGGCGCGCAAAUUAUCCAAUCCCGACUCGGGGAGAUAGUGACAAUAAAUACCGAUACAGGGCUCUUUUGGGCCCUGUAAUUGGAAUGAGUACAAUUUAAACCUCUUAACGAGGAACAAUUGGAGGGCAAGUCUGGUGCCAGCAGCCGCGGUAAUUCCAGCUCCAAUAGCGUAUAUUAAAGUUGUUGUGGUUAAAAAGCUCGUAGUCGAACCUCGAGCCUGGCCGGCCGGUCCGCCUCACCGCGUGCACUGGUCUGGCCGGGCUCUUCCCUCUGCGGAACCGCAUGUCCUUCACUGGGCGUGUCGGGGAGGCAGGACUUUUACUUUGAAAAAAUUAGAGUGCUCAAGGCAGGCCAAUGCUCGAAUACAUUAGCAUGGAAUAAUAGAAUAGGGACGUUGGUUCUAUUUUGGUUGGUUUCUAGGACCGCCGUAAUGAUCAAUAAGGGACGGUCGGGGGGCAUCAGUAUUCAGCCGUC
Molecule: ribosomal RNA, 785 nt
Filed under: Pleurotheciella submersa
Lineage: Eukaryota; Fungi; Ascomycota; Sordariomycetes; Pleurotheciales; Pleurotheciaceae
Description: SSU rRNA
Rfam family: Eukaryotic small subunit ribosomal RNA
Source: RNAcentral